Molecule: long non-coding RNA, 2921 nt
Filed under: Hordeum vulgare
Lineage: Eukaryota; Viridiplantae; Streptophyta; Magnoliopsida; Poales; Poaceae
Description: long non-coding RNA (HVUL_LNC013039)
Source: RNAcentral
UUCUAUUUUUAAAAAAGAUUGAAAUAUAAAAUAUGAUUUUUGAUGAAUUUGGAAUUUGGCAUUUAAAGGCCUUCAUGGAGCUCGACCUCCGAAAGCGAUGAUUACCGUUGAAGUUGUCCACCAAGCUAUAGAUUACAACGAUGGCCUGAACUUGGUCGUGAAUCUUAGAGACUGAACUAUGGACAUAUUUUUAGUUAAUAUCUCUUGUGAUCUAAAAAAAUAAUCCCGGGGACAGCACAUCAAUUAGGAUAGGACCAAUGGCAUGUUAAACACGGCUUGUGCCAACCUUUGUUGGACUAAUAAUAAGUACAUGUUUGGGGCAAAGCCAAUUAGCACUGCAGGCUCGUUUCAGGUCGAGGCAUCCAUUCUGUGCAAGAGAAGUUUCCGAGAAAUGAUCCUUGCAGCGUAACAGGGAUUACCAGUUUUUGGUCAUUCUGAAAAUGCAAACAUCCUUAGAUACGGACAAUUAAUGCACUUCUAAAGUAUAUCUCUGAAAUUGUCUCUUGUAGAUGACCAGAAGUAGAUGGAGUUGGAGAGCUUUAGUCAAAGAAUCUGAUAUUGUGAGACGUCAUAUAUUUGCACGUCAUGUUCAUCAUAGCAUCAUAUAUAUCUUGCAAACAAGUCAUUUCACCUAGAUUCUACAGCAUUUGUCGCGAGCCUGUCGGACGAUCGUUACAGCUAACUAGCCAUGUUCAUCAUGUGCUACUGGUCAUCGGUGGGAUUACUUGUCCUUUGGAUGAAAAUAACGGAUGAAAAUAUUUUUUGCUGGCAUAUUCAUGGCUUUGGAUGCAUUGAUUUAACCAAAGGAGUGAUGUCGUCUCUAAUAUGUUUUAUAUAUUUUGAAUGUACUAACUAGGUUCUAUAUGAACCAAAUGGAAACCUAUCUUCAAAACAAAUGAGGCAUGAAGGGAGGGAGGGGCGAACCUCGCGGCCGGAGGAGGAGAGCGCGGCGGAGGCGGAGGGGGAGGCGGUGGCGCCCUUGUCGUCGCCCAUCAUUGGGGGUUCCUGGCGGCGGUGGGGAGAGGCAGGGAGCGGGGAGGGCGCGGUGCGAGGCGGGCGGUGGCGCAGCGGCGAGGGGGGAGCAGGGGGUUCGGUCUGUGGUGGCUGGAGGGAGGCGGCCGGAGGGCCAGCCGGCGGCGGCAGGUGCGGUUGGAGGGGCGAUCGGAGGGCUUGCGCGAGAGCGGGAGUUUCGCUGGAUUGGAUCAGGAGGAGAGCCACGAGGGGAGGGGAGCGAGUGUUUUUUUUUCACUUCUGGUUAUCAAUGGCGCACCCACCUAAGAAUGCGCCAUUGGUAACCAGGGUACCAAUGGCGCACCUGGUAAGAAUACGCCAUUAGUAGUUUUUAAAAAAACUGAAAAAACAAUUGUUAGUACUGUGCACCGUGGAUGUGGUGCGCCCUUACUAGUUAAAACUAGUAAUGACGCACUUCCACUGGUGCGUCAGUGAUAUGUCUAGGAAAGGGUGUGGGGCCAGGACAAAGAUAGUAAUGACGCACCACACACAAGGUGCGCCAUUAGUAAUACGGAGACUAAUGGCGCACCAGUCUCUGGUGCGCCACUGCUAUAUAGCAGUGCGCACCACAUACAUGGUGCGUCAUUAAUGUCCAUAUUAGCUAUAACCCUUUUUCUAAUAGUGAUAUGUUCAUCCCAGCCCCUCUACUUGGUGUGUACCUGGUAAUAGAUUUACGAACUACUAAACCGUAUUCCCUUUCGGAAAGACCUGUGGCAGCACGAAAGGAAAGGUGAUAUACUGACAAGACUCCAUCUACAGUCGACUUAGGAGGUUAAGUUUUUCCUGCAAGGGUGAGUAUCGCAUAAUUUUUCUGAAUGAUAAACCUCAGUGUUACCACCAUCAGACCUCGGUAUGCUCUCACUGACCACUCUCAUCCCGCGAGAUGUCAGUCCAUGGUCUCAUAAUAUCCAUGACAAACCUCCCUCUGAGGUUGUCCGGACCAGCAUGGCAUACGAGGCAUGGGGUAUUACCCACUUACCAUGUGCAUCACAUAAAAUCAAUAACACCCUUAUCUCAUGCACCCAUGCCCUGAUAUGAUUUUAUGUGGGGUUCUUUACCAACAUAACAUAAAUCACACAUUCAAAGCAUCACAACAAAAAACACAGACUUAAUGCAAACCAGAGUUCAAGAUGCUUGCCUUUGGAGUUGAGGAGGGUGGUGUGCACCCCAAAAUAUUGAAGUAAGCCUCCUCUCUCCAAGUUCCUAUUUUGAAAAUAUUUGAAUUAAUACACAGUUUCAAAAUAGCACAAAAAGUUGUAUGAUUGUUUUUGAAAUAAAUUUGUAAAUAAACUAGAGGAAACUUUACAGAGGUUGGAAAAAGAAUCAAUCCAUUCGGAGUUGCGGUUAAAAAGUUAUGAGCACUCAAACUCUCCGGUCAAAUCUGUUUUUAAAGAGGGGAAGAAUAGAAAACGCUUCGGCCAAAAAUACGUUUCCCAGCAGGGAAAACGUAUUUACAGAGACAACUACGGAAAAAUACGCCUCACUGAAAAAUACGCCAAGAAUACGGCGAUUGGCUGCAGAUCUCGCGUGCUGCGGCACGGGAAUGGGUUCAGGGGGUCCUGGCGACUCUCCUGGUGGUCUCCACAGGCGCGGGGAUGAAGGGAAUCGCCGGUGACGCGGGCUCCGACGGACGAUGGCGUCGGCCUUCGAGAGGCCUGUGCAGCCCGAGGUCUUCGGUACUCGUGGCUACGGGGAAAAACUCCCUCUGGCUGUCACGGGGCUAAACGAGGAGGAGCUUCGUGCGGGGAGGCGCGGGCUGCGGCUAAUUUAACGAGGGAGGCUGCGGUGGCUAGGCUACCGGAGGUGAGCAAGAUGGCCAUCUUCGGCCGAAUUACUGCUACAGAAUGCUAGAUACGAUCAAUAGGGGGGCGAUGGAGCCUGCUGCAUCUCUAGGGGCUAUUUAUAGCCGU